RNAcentral lists this long non-coding RNA (2043 nucleotides) under Gallus gallus (chicken). Its description in RNAcentral is "long non-coding RNA NONGGAT004759". Lineage: Eukaryota; Metazoa; Chordata; Aves; Galliformes; Phasianidae. The record is from RNAcentral.
CCUGACCCAGUCCCCUGUGAUGGAGCUGGGAUUGCUCCAACUCCUCAGUGGAGCUUCACUGACUUGCAGUGACCAGUGCCUGGCCAUCUCCUUCCUGCCUUUGAUUUUGGUUUGUUCACAGACCAUGGUGGAACCAAGGAGGGACGUCAACCUCAAGAUACACUUGGCAAGCUGACAUGGCCAGAGCUACUGGAAAAACACCAGCACAGACAGCCAUUUCCCCAUGAUCCCCAGAUAUUUACAACCUUCCAGUUCUACUGAGCAGGUAAAACGAUUCCCUGUUGUGUUUGUGUCGCAGCUAUUCUGCUUCCAUCUCGAACUGCAGAUGGCUUUUCUCAGAACUUGAGAAUGUUGUUCUCUAAUCAACUGAAUUGAACUUUGUGUUUUGUGAAGUAGCGGGGACUAAGUACAGUCUGUCUGUAAUGACACAUCUGUCUUCUAAGAAGCUGUACAGAGCGCAGCCAGAAGACCUUUGAGCUCAUCUGAAAGCACUGCAUUCAAAUGAAAAUGGAACUAAAAAUAGUAAUUACUGGAAAACAAAAGGGACAACCUGACCCCACAGUUGGCAGACUUAGUACAACAGGAGCAAUAUGCAAUUGUAUACAUAUUUCUAAACCAUACUUGAGAGCAGCUUCCAGGAGCUUCCAAGUAGAAAUGCAUGCAUAGCUCUGACAGGAGAGAGGGCCCAAACACAAACCAGCCCGUUUAACAUAUUGCAGCUUAUCUAGCUGUAAAAGCUUUCGAAUGGACAAGACCUGAAUUUUUCCCUUCUAGCAGAAGACUUGAACAAACAGCAAAGCUGUAAAUAACCACAAUGAGGUUGCUUUGCAAUUGACAACAGAAAGAAAGGUGGCUUCAAGACAGAGAGAUUCCUACGCACCAGAGAUUAUUCCACAGACCAGAGGCACCUCUCCAUUUAAUGCAGCCCAACAGAAGGUAACACACCUGGUCUUCACCAAGACAGCCCAUUGAUAAGAAAAUGAAAACCACACUGGCCUUCCAUGCCUUCACGGUGGAUACCAAGGAAGCCAAGCCUAGCACAGACAGAGCAAAAGAGAGAGGCCAUGGUCUUCAGGCUGACAAGGGCUGCAGAAGCUUGCAAUCAUCUCAAAACCUGAGACUGCUAUCAGGAGCUGAGGCUCUUCAAGUAAAUUCCAUGAAGGGACCUGGAACUCCAGCAUGCAGAGCCAGGACUGGCAGCAGCGGGGAGAGCUCAGUCAUACACCACUCAUCAGCUCUAAGCUGAGGGAAUCACCACGAGGGAAAGAGGAGAGGCAAAGGAAAUAAAUCAUCUGAUAUCCUGUCAGCAAACUGCCAUCAGUGCUUUGAGACUGGAGGCGUUUCUCCUACCCCAGAAGAGCAUUGAAAAAAAAAAGUCUAGCUGAUAACUUGGACAGGGUUCAGGUAUGUUUGUGUGCAUACCAGCAGUUAAACUGAUUUCUUCCACUAUCUUAUCUGUCCAUUUCUGGCUUUGAAGGGGAAGAAGUUUGGCAGGCGAGUUGCUCUUGGAAUGCACUCAGUAAACCAUGGACAGGAGAACCAAGGAGCAUAAAUAGAAGUAGCCAUAGGUGUAGCAGCUGGGAGCCUGACUUCUGGCUUCUAUUCCGAGCUCUACUCAUGACUCACUUGACAACCUUGGAAAGCCACUUCACCUCUCCCUGCUCCAGCAUUCUCACAGGCACAGCUCACCCAUUUCACAGGUACCCCAGGCAGAGGAACCCCACUGCUUCCAGCUGGGUAAGCAAUUCUGGAGGAAGGACCUCAUCCCUCUUCCUCUGUUAGCCCCAGGCCAUUCAGCCCCACAGGUCAGGGCACCUGGAGGGGAACUGGCAACUUGAACCAAGUGCAUCUCGUGAAGCUUUUUGGGAUCCAUCAAGGAAAGGAAAAGCACUUUAACAAGAUGUUGCUAAUUAUAGCUUGACAGCACAUAACACAUUCCUGCUCUGGACAGAGCUCUGCUAUCAGCCAACUCAAUUAUACAUUAUCUUUGCCCAAUUCCCUCCUUAUUAAUUGUGACCAAAGCACUGAAUAAAGCCAAAUUUC